UCGUCCUACGGGGCGCAGCAGUGAGGAAUAUUGGUCAAUGGCCGCAGGGCUGAACCAGCCAAGUCGCGUGAGGGAUGACGGUCCUAUGGAUUGUAAACCUCUUUUGUCAGGGAGCAAAGGGCGCCACGUGUGGCGCUUUGCGAGUACCUGAAGAAAAAGCAUCGGCUAACUCCGUGCCAGCAGCCGCGGUAAUACGGAGGAUGCGAGCGUUAUCCGGAAUCACUGGGCGUAAAGGGAGCGUAGACGGCUGAGCAAGCCUGAAGUGAAAGGCGGGGGCCCAACCCCCGGACUGCUUUGGGAACUGU
This 305-nucleotide ribosomal RNA is filed under the name uncultured bacterium. Its description in RNAcentral is "bacterial SSU rRNA". It matches the Rfam family "Bacterial small subunit ribosomal RNA", at positions 334 to 636 of the family's 1533-position model. The record is from RNAcentral.